Molecule: RNA transcript, 15863 nt
Organism: Nycticebus coucang (slow loris)
Lineage: Eukaryota; Metazoa; Chordata; Mammalia; Primates; Lorisidae
Gene: BSN
Gene name: bassoon presynaptic cytomatrix protein
Exons: 12
Source: RefSeq, a predicted model, not a curated record
AGCACCUAGAGUGUGAGCACAGCCCGGGAGCCGCCGGUUCGGGCGCAGUGCGACCCCUACCCCGCCCUCCCUCUUGCCCGCCAUGGGCAACGAGGCCAGUUUGGAGGGCGGCGCUGGCGACGGGCCCCCGCCUCCCGGAGGCUCUGGUCCCGGCCCGGGCCCCGGCGCAGGGAAGCCGUCUUCAGCACCGGCCGGCGGCGGACAGCUCCCUGCGGCCGGCGCAGCGCGGGCUACCGCGGGGCCACAGGUCCCUGGCCCUGGCCCUGGCCCUGGCCCGGGCAGCAUUUCCCGGAGACUGGACCCCAAGGAGCCCCCAAGUAGCCAGAGAGCAGCUUCCCCAACUCCGAAGCAGGCUUCUGCUACUGCUCCUGGCCGAGAAAGCCCCCUGGAGACGAGGACACAGGGCCUAGCAGGCCAGGAGGCUGAUGGUCCACGCAGGACGCUGCAGGUAGACAGCAGGACACAGAGAUCAGGGCGGUCCCCUUCAGUGUCACCGGACAGAAGCAGCACCCCAACAUCACCCUACUCCGUCCCUCAGAUCGCACCCCUUCCCAGCAGCACCCUGUGUCCCAUAUGCAAGACCUCGGACCUCACUUCAACUCCCAGCCAGCCAAACUUCAACACCUGCACCCAGUGUCACAACAAGGUCUGCAACCAGUGUGGGUUCAACCCCAAUCCUCAUCUCACCCAGGUGAAGGAGUGGCUCUGUCUGAACUGUCAGAUGCAGAGGGCUCUGGGAAUGGACAUGACUACUGCGCCUCGCUCCAAAAGCCAGCAGCAGCUACACUCCCCAGCCCUGUCUCCUGCCCACUCCCCAGCCAAACAGCCCCUGGGGAAGCCAGAGCAAGAGAGAUAUCAGGGUCCAGGGGGACCACAGCCUGGCCCCCGCCAGGCUGAGACAGCCAGGGCCACCACAGUGCCGGGGCCUGCCCAAGUAACUGCCCUUCCUCAGCCCUCUCUCCCCACCAAGCCUUCCACAGCAGAGCCCAGGCCACUUGCAGGAGAGGCCCCAGCCAAAAGUGCCACUGCAGUGCCCUCUGGGCUUGGUGCUGCAGAGCAGACACAGGAAGGCCUCACUGGUAAGCUCUUUGGCCUCGGUGCAUCGCUGCUGACCCAAGCUAGCACUCUCAUGUCUGUGCAGCCCGAGGCUGACCCCCAAGGCCAGCCUACCCCCAGCAAGGGACCGCCCAAGAUUGUCUUCAGUGAUGCCAGCAAGGAUGCUGACCCAAGAUCCCUGGGCUCAGGGCCAGCACCUGGAGCCAAAACUGAGCCUGGAGCUAGAACAGGUCUUGGAUCAGGGCCUGGAGCCCUGCCGAAAACUGGGGGAACAACCAGCCCAAAGCAUGGCAGAGCAGAACAUCAGGCAGCAUCCAAGGCUGCUGCUAAGCCAAAGACCAUGCUAAAGGAAAAGGCCACCUGCCCACUGUGCCAAGCUGAGCUCAACGUGGGCAGCAAGGGCCCAGCCAACUAUAACACCUGCACCACUUGCAAGCUCCAGGUGUGCAACCUGUGUGGCUUCAAUCCAACACCUCACCUAGUGGAGAAAACAGAGUGGCUCUGUCUGAACUGCCAAACUAAGCGGCUAUUGGAGGGCAGCCUAGGAGAGCCGAUCCCUCCGCCGCUGCCCACCUCACAGCAGCCCCCGGUGGGGGCCCCUCACCGUGUAGCUGGAACAACCCCUCUGAAGCAGAAAGGCCCCCAGGGGACUGGCCAGCCAUCAGGCCCCCUGCCUGUCAAGGCCAGCCCCCUACCCACCAAAGCCAGCCCUCUGCCUACCAAGGCCAGCCCUCUGCCUACCAAGACCAGCCCUCUUCCUACCAAGGCCAGCCCCCAGGCCAAGCCCCUCAAGGCCUCUGAACCCAGCAGGACCCCCAGCAGUGCCCAGGAAAAGAAGACAGGAGUCCCUGCUAAAGCUGAGCCUGUGCCGAAGCCACCUCCAGAGACUACCCCCUCUUCUGGGAUACCUAAAACAAAGAGUAUGGGGAAGAAGGCUGAACCUGCCACCCCUGUCAUCAAGGCCGUUCCAGAAACCCCUAAGGGUGGGGAGGCAGAGGAGCCAGUGAGCAAGCCUUAUUCUCAGGAUGUUUCUCGGAGCCCACAGAGCCUCAGUGACACAGGCUAUUCCUCUGACGGUGUCUCCAGCUCCCAGAGUGAAAUCACAGGAGUUGUGCAGCAUGAGGUGGAACAGUUGGAUAGUGCUGGGGUGACAGGGCCACGCCCACCCAGCCCCUCAGAGAUUCACAAGGUGGGAAGCAGUAUGCCGCCUUUGCCAGAGCCACCGGGCCUGACCUCCACUGGUGAGCAGAGCAAGCCACCCUGCAGCAGCACUGGUGAGGAACAGACACAGCGUCCCCACUCCUUGUCAAUCACGCCUGAGGCCUUUGACUCUGAGGAGGAGCUGGAGGAUAUCCUGGAGGAAGAGGAAGACUCUCUUGUUUGGAGGCACCGGAGGGAGCAACAGGACGCAGCUGAGUCCUCGGAUGACUAUGGCAGCCAGCUGAGGCAUGACUAUGUAGAAGACAGCAGUGAGGGUGGCCUGUCCCCUCUUCCACCCCAGCCCCCAGCCCGGGCAGCAGAACUGACUGAUGAGGAGUUCAUGCGACGGCAGAUCCUAGAGAUGAGUGCUGAGGAAGACAACCCGGAGGAGGAUGACACUGCCACCUCCAGGCAUGGCCUGGCCAAACAUGGCACCCAGAAGGGUGCCCCUAGGCCUAGGCCUGAGCCUAACCAAGAACCAGCAGCACUGCCCAAGAAGCGCCUGCCCCACAAUGCCACCACCGGCUAUGAGGAGCUGCUGUCUGAGGGAGGCCCAACAGAGGUCACUGAAGGUAGUGGGACCCUGCAAGGUGGUCUCCGCCGCUUCAAGACCAUUGAGCUCAACAGCACGGGCAGCUAUGGCCAUGAGCUAGACCUGGACCAGGGCCCUGACACCAACCUGGACCGGGAACCCGAACUGGAAAUGGAAAGCCUGACAGGCUCUCCUGAGGACCGCUCCCGUGGAGAGCACUCCUCUACACUGCCCGCAUCUACCCCCAGCUACACGUCAGGCACCUCCCCCACCUCCCUGUCCUCUCUAGAGGAAGACAGUGACAGCAGCCCCAGCCGACGGCAGCGGCUAGAAGAAGCGAAGCAGCAGCGCAAGGCCCGGCACCGCUCCCAUGGGCCCCUGCUGCCCACCAUUGAGGACUCCUCAGAGGAAGAGGAGCUGCGAGAGGAAGAAGAGCUGCUGCGUGAGCAGGAGAAGAUGAGGGAGGUGGAGCAGCAGCGCAUCCGUAGCACUGCCCGGAAGACCCGGCGUGACAAGGAAGAAUUGCGGGCUCAGAGGCGGCGUGAGCGCUCCAAGACACCUCCUAGCAACUUGUCACCCAUUGAGGAUGCCUCCCCUACAGAGGAGCUGAGGCAGGCAGCUGAGAUGGAGGAGCUGCAUCGCUCCUCCUGCUCUGAGUACUCACCCUCGCCCUCCCUUGACUCCGAGGCUGAGGCCCUGGAUAGCGGCCCUAGCCGGCUCUACAAGUCAGGCAGUGAGUACAACCUGCCCACCUUCAUGUCCCUCUACUCACCAACUGAGAUGCCAUCAGGAAGUUCCACCACCCCCAGUUCUGUUCGGCCCCUCAAGAGUGCUGAGGAGGCCUACGAGGAGAUGAUGAGAAAAGCCGAGCUGCUCCAGCGGCAACAAAGCCAGGUGUCAGGCACCCGGGGGCCCCAGGGUGGCCCCUCUCAGCCCACAGGUCCCCGGGGCCAGGGCUCCUUUGAAUACCAAGGUGCUCCAGACCGUGAGUAUGGCCCAGCUGCUCAGCCUACCUCAGAAGGGACGCCGGCCAGCCUAGGAACAGCCACAUAUGAGGAGAUUCUUCAGACAUCACAGAGCAUAGCUCGCAUGCGGCAGGCUUCUUUGCAGGACCUGGGCUUUGCUGAGGACAAGAAGAAGGAAAAGCAGUUUCUGAAUGCUGAGAGUGCAUACAUGGACCCAAUGAAGCAAAAUGGUGGCCCACUUACCCCUGGUACCAGUCCCACCCAGCUCGCUGCCCCUGUGUCCUUCUCCACCUCUACCUCUUCAGACAGCAGUGGAGGCCGAGUUAUUCCCGAUGUUCGUGUCACUCAGCAUUUUGCAAAGGAGCCUCAGGAACCCCUCAAGCUACACAGCUCUCCUGCCUCCCCCAGCUCAGCCUCCAAGGAGGUAGGCAUGUCCUUCUCCCAUGGCCCUGAGACUCCAGCCACCACAACUGUGGCUCCUUGUCCAGCUAGCCUGCCACGGGGGUAUAUAACUCCAACAUCUCCAGCAGUCUCUGAGCAGAGCCCUUCACCAUCUUCCACAGGCCGCAACUAUGGACCAAGCCCAACCACUGCAAACUAUGGGUCUCAAACUGAGGAGCUAUCCCGGGUCCCCAGUUCCCCUGCUGCAGGUGGACGGGCUGCCAGAGAGAAGACCUUGAGUGGGAGUGACAACGAGGGUGCCACUUCCCAGCAUUCUCGGGCAUAUUCCUAUUUUGCAGGUUCUAGCCCACCUCUUUCUCCAUCCUCUCCCUCAGAGAGUCCUACAUUCUCUCUUGGCAAGCUGGGCCCAAGGGCCACAGCCGAGUUCUCUACACAGACGCCAAGUCUAACCCCUGCCUCAGACAUGCCAUGGAGUCCUGGUGCCCCCACCCCAACAUCCAUGGUAGCCCAGGGCACACAAACACCACACCGACCCAGCACACCUCGCCUGGUGUGGCAGCAGUCCUCGCAGGAGGCUCCCUUUAUGGUCAUCACGCUGGCAUCAAAUGCUUCCAGCCAGACCAGGAUGGUACAUGCCAGUGCCUCCACCUCCCCACUGUGCUCACCUACUGAUACCCAGCCCACCACCCAUAGCUACAGCCAGACGACACCUCCAAGUGUCUCUCAGAUGUCCUCAGAGCCACCUGGGCCACCUGGCUUCCCAAGGAUGCCCAGUGUGGGUACAGAUGGGCCCCUGGCACUUUAUGGCUGGGGUGCCCUCCCUGCUGAGAACAUCUCCCUAUGUCGGAUCUCCUCUGUCCCUGGAACGUCUAGGGUUGAACCAGGCCCCAGAACCCCUGGAAGUGCAGUGGUAGACCUCCGCACAGCCAUUAAGCCCACCCCUAUCAUCCUCACUGACCAGGGCAUGGACUUGACCUCACUUGCCGUGGAAGCAAGGAAGUAUGGCCUUGCCUUGGAUCCAAUACCAGGACGGCAGUCGACCGCUGUGCAGCCCUUGGUUAUCAACCUCAAUGCCCAGGAACAGACCCAUGCCUUGCUUGGCACUGCCACCACCGUUAGCAUCACUAUGGCCUCAUCUGUGCUCAUGGCUCAGCAAAAGCAGCCUGUGGUCUAUGGAGACCCCUUCCAGAGCCGCCUUGACUUUGGCCAGGGUUCAGGUAGUCCUGUGUGUUUGGCCCAGGUCAAGCAGAUAGAACAGGGUGUCCAGACAGCUCCAUACCGAGGCGGGCCCCGGGGAAGACCCAGAGAGACCAAGUUUGCCAGGUAUAACCUGCCCAACCAGGUAGUGCCUCUGGCCAGAAGGGAUGUUUUGAUCACUCAGAUGGGCAGCACACAGAGUGUUGGCCUCAAGCCAGGUCCAGUGCCAGAACCUGCUGCUGAGCCCCACCAGGCCACUCCUGCAGAGCUACGGUCACAUGCUCUUCCAGGUGCCAGGAAGCCACACGCAGUGGUAGUGCAGAUGGGAGAGGGCACAGCAGGCACUGUGACCACACUGCUCCCAGAGGAGCCAACAGGUGCCCUUGACCUCACUGGGAUGAGGCCUGAGAGCCAGCUGGCAUGCUGUGACAUGGUCUACAAGUUCCCCUUUGGCAGUAGCUGCACUGGCACCUUCCAGCCCACUCCUAAUGUGCCUGAGAAGAGCAUGGCAGAUGCUGCCCCACCAGGCCAGAGUAGUGGCCCCUUCUAUGGUCCCCAAGACCCUGAGCCUCUCGAGCCCCCCACCUACCAGGCACAGGGGCUAGUGGGGCUUGGGGCUGCUGAGGAACAGAGGCCCUACCCACAGGGUCUCCCUGGCAGGCUGUACUCUUCCAUGUCUGACACCAAUUUGGCUGAGGCUGGUCUCAACUACCAUGCUCACCGGGUUGGGCAGCUCUUCCAAGGCCCUGGACGAGACUCAGCUGUGGAUCUCAGCUCUCUGAAGCAUUCCUACAGGUUGGGCUUUGCAGACGGACGCUACCUAGGGCAGGGUUUGCAAUAUGGCUCAUUCACAGACCUGCGUCAUCCUACAGAUCUUUUAAGUCACCCACUUCCCAUGCGGCGUUAUAGCUCUGUGUCGAACAUCUACUCAGACUACAGGUAUGGCCAGCGGGGAGAUGCAGUUGGCUUCCAAGAGGCCAGCUUGGCCCAGUACAGUGCCACCACAGCCCGUGAGAUCAGCCGCAUGUGUGCUGCCCUCAACUCUAUGGACCAGUAUGGUGGGCGGCAUGGCAGUGGUGGUGGUGGCACUGAUCUUGUGCAAUACCAGCCUCAGCACAGGCCUCGGAUCACUGCUUCUCAGGGUCUGGCUCCCCCCAGACCUGGACUCCUUGGUAACCCCACCUUUCCAGAGGGCCACCCAAGUCCUGGGAACUUGGCCCAGUAUGGGCCUGCAGCAGGCCAGGGAACAGCAAUCAGACAGCUGCUGCCAUCCACAGCCACUGUGCGUGCAGCAGAUGGCAUGAUCUAUUCAACUAUCAAUACCCCAAUUGCUGCAACACUGCCCAUCACCACCCAGCCUGCCUCAGUACUGCGGCCCAUGGUGCGUGGUGGCAUGUACAGGCCUUAUGCAUCUGGUAGAGUCACAGCCGUGCCGCUCACCAGCCUGACACGUGUGCCCAUGAUUGCCCCCCGGGUACCUCUUGGGCCCACAGGGCUAUACCGUUAUCAUGUACCUAGUAGAUUCCCCAUUGCUUCCAGCAUUCCAUCUGCUGAGGGGCCUGUCUACUUGGGGAAACCUGCUGCUGCCAAGGCCCCAGGGGCUGGGGGUCCACCAAGGGGAGAGCUGCCCACAGGGGCUGCACGGGAAGAGUCUCUUUCUAUAACCACUCCUGCUGUUGUCAAGGAGGCUGCAGGAGCCCCAGCCUCCUCCCCAUUAACUGGCCAGAAGCCACCAGGAGAUGCUGCUCUUGGGGGUGGCAGUGGGGCUCUCAACCGGCCAGGCCUUGAGAAGGAGGAAGCAUCUCAGGAGGAGAGGCAGCGGAAGCAGCAGGAGCAGUUGCUCCAGCUAGAGCGGGAGCGGGUGGAGUUAGAGAAGCUGAGACAGCUGCGGCUGCAAGAGGAGCUAGAGCGGGAGCGUGUGGAGCUACAGAGGCACCGUGAGGAAGAACAGCUGCUGGUGCAACGGGAGUUGCAGGAGCUGCAGACCAUCAAGCACCAUGUGCUGCAGCAGCAGCAAGAGGAACGCCAGGCUCAGUUUGCACUGCAGCGAGAGCAGCUAGCACAGCAGCGUCUACAGCUGGAGCAGAUCCAGCAGCUGCAGCAGCAGCUGCAGCAGCAGCUAGAGGAACAGAAGCAGCGGCAGAAGGCUCCCUUCCCUGCAGCCUGUGAGGCACCUGGCCGAGGGCCUCCCCCAGCAGCCACUGAGCUGGCCCAGAAUGGCCAGUACUGGCCCCCGCUGACACAUACAGCCUUCAUUGCUGUGGCAGGGCCUGAGGGGACUGGGCAGCCUCGUGGUGAGCCUAUGCUGCAUCGGGGUCUCCCUAGCUCCGCCUCAGACAUGUCACUGCAAACUGAGGAGCAGUGGGAGGCAGGCCGCAGUGGCAUCAAGAAGCGGCACUCCAUGCCACGCCUGCGGGAUGCCUGUGAGCCAGAGUCGGGGCCUGAGCCCUGUAUGGUCAGGAGGAUUGCAGAUAGCAGCGUGCAGACAGAUGAUGAGGAUGGGGAGGGCCGCUACCUCCUGAGCCGGCGGCGCCGAGCACGGCGGAGUGCUGACUGCAGUGUGCAGACCGAUGACGAGGACAGUGCAGAGUGGGAGCAGCCAGUGCGUCGCCGCAGGUCCCGCCUUUCCCGCCACUCUGACUCUGGCUCUGACAGCAAGCACGAUGCCACUGCCUCAUCAUCCACUGCCACUGCUGCUGCGAGGGCCAUGAGCAGCGUGGGCAUCCAGACCAUCAGUGACUGCUCCGUGCAGACAGAGCCUGAUCAGCUGCCCAGGGUCUCUCCAGCUAUCCACAUCAUAGCUGCCACUGACCCCAAGGUGGAGAUUGUCAGGUACAUAUCAGCACCAGAGAAGACUGGGCGUGGGGAGAGCUUGGCCUGUCAGACAGAGCCAGAUGGUCAGGCUCAGGGUGUGACUGGACCUCAGCUCGUAGGGCCAACUGCUAUCAGUCCCUAUCUGCCCGGCAUCCAGAUCGUCACCCCAGGACCUCUGGGAAGGUUUGAAAAAAAGAAGCCGGAUCCUCUGGAGAUUGGGUACCAGACCCACCUGCCCCCAGAGUCUCUCUCACAGCUUGUGAGCCGCCAGCCUCCCAAGUCCCCCCAGGUCCUCUACUCACCAGUCUCGCCCCUGUCCCCACACCGGCUCCUGGACACAUCCUUUGCUUCCAGUGAGAGGCUGAACAAGGCUCACGUGAGUCCCCAGAAGCACUUCACGACUGACAGCACUCUCCACCAGCCGACGUUGCCUCGCCCCAUGAAGACCCUGCAGCGGUCCUUGUCUGACCCUAAGCCCCUCAGCCCCACCGCCGAGGAGUCUGCCAAAGAGAGGUUCUCCCUCUACCAGCACCAGGGGGGACUGGGUAGCCAGGUGUCGGCGCUGCCACCCAACAGCCUGGUCCGCAAGGUGAAGCGGACACUACCCAGCCCCCCUCCAGAGGAGGCUCACCUUCCCCUGGCUGGCCAGGCCCCCCCACAGCUGUAUGCAGCCAGUCUACUGCAGCGAGGGCUGGCGGGGCCCACCACUGUCCCUGCUACCAAGGCCAGCUUGCUCCGGGAGCUGGACCGGGACCUCCGGCUGGUGGAGCAUGAAUCCACCAAGCUGCGCAAGAAGCAGGCAGAACUGGAUGAGGAGGAGAAGGAGAUUGAUGCCAAGCUCAAGUACCUGGAGCUGGGCAUCACACAGCGCAAAGAGUCUUUGGCCAAAGACCGAGGUGGCCGUGACUACCCACCCUUGCGUGGUCUUGGUGAGCAUCGUGACUACCUGUCAGACAGUGAGCUCAACCAGCUGCGUCUCCAGGGGUGCUCUACUCCUGCUGGCCAGUACAUGGACUUCCCCGCCACUGCUGUGGCUCCUGCCACCCCCUCCGGUCCCACUGUCUUCCAACAGUCCCGGUUCCCACCUCCAGCCUCACAGUACACUGCAGGCAGUAGUGGACCAACUCAGAAUGGAUUCCCAGCCCACCAACCACCCACCUACUCUGGCCCCAGCACAUACCCAGCAUCUUCCUUUCCUCCUGGCACCGGCUAUACCGCUGAGCCUGGUCUCCCAAACCAACAGGCUUUCCAUCCCACAGGCCAUUGUGCAGCCCAAACACCCAUGCCAACCACACAGAGCACCCUUUUUCCUGUCCCAGCUGACAGUCGUGCCCCCCACCAGAAGCCACGCCAGACAUCUCUAGCUGACUUGGAGCAGAAGUUGCCUACCAACUAUGAGGUGAUCGCCAGCCCUGUUGUGGCCAUAUCUUCAGCCCCCUCUGAAACCAGCUACAGUGGCCCUGGAGUGAGCAGUGGCUAUGAACAAGGCAAGGCCCCUGAGCUACCCCGGGCCAGUGAUCGUAGCAGUGUGAGCCAGAGCCCAGCCCCUACCUACCCCUCUGACUCACACUACACCAGUCUGGAACAGAAUGUUCCUCGGAACUAUGUGAUGAUUGACGACAUCAGUGAGCUGACUAAAGACAGUGCCUCUACUGCCUCUGAUAGCCAGCGGCUAGAGCCCUUAGGGCCAGGCAGCAGUGGGCGUCCAGGGAAGGAGCCUGGAGAACCAGGUGUCCUUGAGGGGUCUGCACUGCCCUGCUGCUAUGGCAGAGGGGAAGAAGAAUCCGAGGAGGACUCAUAUGACCCUCGUGGGAAGGUCAGCCACCACCGGAACAUGGAGAGUAAUGGCCGAUCAGCCAGUGCCCACUACUACAAUAACAGCGACUAUAGACAGGGGACUCGAGCAGAGAAGUAUGGCCCAGGGCCCAAGCAUCCUUCCAAGAGCCUGGCCCCGGCUGCCAUCUCCUCCAAGCGCAGCAAGCACCGGAAGCAAGGCAUGGAGCAAAAGAUCUCCAAGUUCUCACCUAUCGAAGAGGCCAAGGAUGUGGAGUCAGAUCUGGCCUCCUACCCCCCACCUGCAGUCAGCAGCAGCCUGGCUUCUCGGGGCAGGAAGUUCCAGGAUGAAAUCACCUAUGGGCUCAAGAAGAAUGUGUACGAACAGCAGAGGUACUACGGGGUGUCAACCCGGGAGCUGGUGGAGGAGGACGACCACAUGUAUGGUGGGAGCAGCCGGUCCCGGAUUUCAUCUGCAUACAGUGGGGAGAAGCUGCCCAGUCAUGAUUUCAGUGGCCGAGGCAAGGGGUAUGAACGGGAACGAGAAGCUGUAGAGCGACUUCAAAAAGCGAGCCCUAAGCCCUCAUCCCUGAGCAUGGCCCACAGCCGGGCACGGCCACCCAUGCGGAGCCAGGCCUCUGAAGAGGAGAGCCCUGUCAGCCCCUUGGGGCAGCCCCGCCCUGCUGGGGGGCCCCUCCCUCCUGGGGAUACCUGCCCACAGUUCUGCUCCAGCCAUUCCAUGCCUGAUGUCCAGGAGCAUGUCAAGGAUGGACCCCGGGCCCAUGCAUAUAAGCGUGAGGAGGGCUACAUCCUGGAUGAUUCUCACUGCGUAGUUUCCGACAGUGAAGCGUAUCACCUAGGCCAGGAGGAGACAGACUGGUUUGAUAAGCCCCGGGAUGCCCGCUCCGACCGGUUCAGGCACCAUGGGGGCCAUGCAGUUUCCUCCUCCUCCCAAAAGCGAGGCCCUGCCAGGCACAGCUACCAUGACUAUGAUGAACCCCCUGAAGAAGGCCUGUGGCCUCACGAUGAGGGUGGCCCAGGCCGCCAUGCCUCAGCCAAGGAACAUCGGCACCACAGUGACCACGGGCGGCACUCAAGCCGCCACACUGGUGAGGAGCCGGGACGGCGUGCUGCCAAACCACAUGCUCGGGACCUGGGUCGCCAUGAGGCCCGUUCCCACCCUCAGCCCAACCCUGCCCCAGCCAUGCCGAAGAAGGGUCAGUCUGGGUACGCCAGCUCUGCUGAAUACUCACAGCCAUCCCGCGUUCCAUCAGCAUACCAUCAUGCCUCUGACAGUAAGAAGGGUUCCCGGCAGGCUGCACUGCAGACAAAACAGGAACCCCAGGUGCAGCCACAGCUGCAAGGUCGGCAGGCAACUCCAGGGCCACAGCAGUCACAGCCACUAUCAUCCAGGCAGAUGCCCUCAGGGGCAGCAUCGCGCCAGCCACAGAUACAGCAGCAGCAACAACAACAAGGUCUUGGGCUGCAGCAGAGCCAGCAGGCCCUUUCACAGGCUCGGCUGCAGCAGCAGAGCCAGCCCACCACCCGAGGUCCAGCCCCUGCUGCCAGCCAGCCAGUAGGGAAGCCUCAGCCAGGCCCCACGACAGCUGCAGGCUCCCAGCCAGCAGGACUGCCACGGGCAGAACAGACAAACGGUUCUAAAGGGACAGCCAAAGCACCCCAACAGGGAAGGGCUUCUCAGGCCCAGCCAACACCAGGACCAGGACCUGCAGGCCUGAAGGCUGGAGCCAGGCCUGCAGGGCCUCCAGGGGCUCCUGCUGGCCAGCCAGGUACUGAGGGAGAGAGUAUGUUUUCCAAGAUCCUCCCUGGUGGGGCAGCAGAGCAAGCUGGCAAGCUGACAGAAGCUGUGUCUGCUUUUGGCAAAAAAUUUUCUUCCUUCUGGUGACCAUGCCCAGUAGGGCUCUUGAAGAGAUGAAGAGAGAUGAUAUCAGUGCUGUGGAAAAAUCUCUGGAGUCAGAGGCCUGGGCGCAGCUCUGGACUCUGCGUAUAACUCAUCUACAAACUGGCAAACCCUUGGCCCAAAGACUCACACCAGGUGGGAUGUGGCAGGCAGGCCUCAGUUGAGAAUGGGAUGUUUUCUAACAGCAGCUGCCUGGUGACGCAUCUGUUGGACAAGUGGGACCACUGGCCUGGGGUGACCUUUGAUUGUCUUUCCAGAGACCCUGCUCUCCUCAGGGCACCACCUUCAAGGCAAAACUGUCAUUGGGAGGGAGGAGCCCUCUCUAGAACCCUGCCACCAUGGCUGUCUUGCCAUUCUUCCCACAGCCGCCUUUCUGCCGCCUGGUCAGCCAGGCUUCCAAUGCGUUAUACACAGAGUUUGGGCGCAUACUGCCCUUCCUCCGAGAUGCCAGAAGUUUUUCCACAGCCUUGGAGAGGGGCUUUGAUUGAGGGCUGGGAGCCUGGGGGCUCCAUUUCCUUCACAUUCCAGCUGGCCCAGAUCCCUCUGUGGCCAUAGGGCCCUGCCCCCUCACCCUGCUCUCUGGGGGACAUCAGAACAGACCUCCAGUGGCCAGUGUGGGGUUGGGAGAACUUUAUAAACAUUAGGACCUAACACUGUCUCAUCACUGAAAUAAGAGGCCAUAGCACCGAAAAGCAGCGUGGGCGCCGGCUGAGUCUUCUCCCAGCCUGUGGGUGGCAGUGUGCUAGCACACCUGCCACCACCUCAAAGCCAUCUCCCUAGCCAUCAUGAGCAUCCCAGCGGCACGGCUAUUGUUUUCAACCAGCCAGCUCCUCGUCUGUACACCUGGGGAUUUCUUUUGAUUUCAAGAACAGCCUUAAUCAUUCCAGUUUGAUUUAUGUGUAUACCUCAUAAACAUUUUUCUUUUGUUUCUCUUUCUCCUUUUCUCUCUUCUCUUUGUUCACCCCUUGCCUUGCCCUUUCACUACCACCUUGUGACUGAUGGUUUGGUUCCUCUCUGCUCUGCCCCUGCUCAGCACAGGGAGAAUGUUGACUUAGAAGCAAUAGGGGGCAGCAGGCCACCAAGAGCACAACCCCAGGGCGAGGUCUAGGGAGACCCCUCAGCCCGCCUCUGUUUACUGUGCAAUUCCAGUCCUUCUUAAGCCAUCACCAGAGGGUGUGCUCAGAGCAGAAGGGCCAGGGCUUCUGACAGCCAAGGAAAAGGCCCAGAGCCCUGUUGGAGAGAGUGUGGCACCGUCUAUCCAUCUGGUAGACUAGGUGGCAUUCCUCCCCAAGGCCCUUCACUUAGGGGCCUCCCUUUAUCUUGUGCACAGCCACAAGUCUCAUCUCUAAUGUUCUAUGCAAUGAAAUAUAAACCCUCAAAGACAACUGUUAAUAUUUAAUAAAUUCCAUGUUAUGUAUAAGGAGUUAAUUGCAAACAUGCAAUUGAGAAACUGGAUAGAUAUGCUCAUAUCACCCCCACCCCACUCCUCCUCCCACCGUGUGUGUGUGUGUGUGUGUGUGUGUGAAAUUCUCAGUCUGUGGCAUGUUUGACCUGUGGCAGGACUUGCUACUGCCAGGCGAGUCACCACCUGUCCUGCAGCGGAGCAUGCACAGCUCGCAGCCUCUUUGCAUGAUUUCAUCCAUUUUAAAUGCUCGACCCUCUUGCUUGGAGUUCUUUUUGCCUCAGAACCUCUCCUUCAGGAGCACUUCUAGCUGACUUCUGCACAAGUUAGUGAGGACUGCCAGUAUUGUUGCCUGAGUGUGCCAGGCUGUGUAGCUGGCAGCAUAAGGCUCCACACACCCUGAAGUUUUCUCUGUCCAGUGAAGCAGGUAAAAAGGAAUCCCUGGAGCAGAUACAAUGGUAGGAGCCCACACAGGAUGUGUGUGUAUGAAUAUUCUGAAGGCUUGCUAAGGAUUUCUAUCUAUAGGCUGUUUUCCCUUCUUAUACUAGCCCUGAGCCAUAGGUAUCUGCCACCUCUUCCCAGCAGGCAAUGCUCAAGGGCAGAGCAGGGCCAUAUCCAUGGCCAGACAGGCAAAGCCAAAGGUAGAGUCUGGUUGUACCCCAGAGACCCCAGCUCCUGAAUGUACCUGCUCCAUACCUAUUCUCUGUGACUGGGAGGUUCAAAGGCUUGUGAGCCAGGAGAUCUGGGCUGGAGCCAGGGAAUCAAAGGGAAAAGCUGGGUCUUUGGUACUUGUGGUGAGGACAGUUAACAAUGUCAUCUGGAACCAGAGCAUGUGAAGUAUUCACAUAAAUGGUGGCUUCAAGCUGAGUUUCUUAAACAGUAACACUUAUAGAAGGUCCUAUGUGGCCCUCUCUGCAUCUGACCCUAGGACCUACCCUCCUUACACAUCCCAUUCUCCAAAAGCCAAGUAUUCCACUGCUCAUCCGCUUCUCAACCACUCAGCCAGGAGCACAGCCAGGUCAGCUGCCUGACCCCUCAUGGCUGACCUUCCUCCAGAGUGCUCUGGUUCACACCAUGCAUUUCUCAGGGGUCCACAUGCCUUUCAAUAAGGUCUACAGACCACUUCAGUGAGGGAUCCUGGCCCACCUCUGAUAGCUCUGGACAGGACAGGAAGCUGUUUAUAUCUGUGUUAGACCUAAGACCUUGGCCUUCCUGCAGGAAUUUUGCCUCACCCAUCCCGUGGAACACCUGCCUCACCCCAGAGAUCAGGCCUGGGACUGGAAAAAGCCAAGGGCUGAGGGAAAACCAUCAUCUAGCACCUCUGGCCACCCAGGACCAGGUCUGUGCCUAGCAGUUGGGUACUCGGAGACCAAGGCAACAAUCCUUUCUACUAAAGGCCAAGGGAUGGGAUGGGGAGCAGGGAACAGGCAGGGAGAUGUUAGCAGGUCAGCCUCUAGCAGGCCCUCUUAGGCUCUGAAGUAUUGACUUUUCAGCAAAUUUCCUUUCUGGUAAAGCCCACUGAGUUUGAAAUCCUGACAUCUUCCACUCCCUACCUCCCACUGUACCCACUAGAUACAUCAUUGCCCCUCUGUGAAAGUGGCUGGAGAAAGGGCUGUCCCUCCUGGCCCUUGUACAGCUGUGACUCUGAGGGCAAUUCAGCCAGAAACUGAGGGACCAGCAUUUGGUGUCUUGGAAAGUAGAAAGCAACAGGCAUAUCUCCAAAUGGGCAGCAGGUCUCUGGUGUACAGCCCAGGCCUUCUCCAUACCCCUGUCCCCACCACCAUGAGCAAGGGCAUUGCCUCCUCUGCCCACUUCAGGGCCCAAUGCACUCACUUCAUAGUAACAGCAUCCCCAUCUCCUUAUCUUUGGGCAGAGCAUAUGUUCCAAGGGCCCAUGAUGAAAGAGUAGCAGUGACAGCAACUAUGGCUUGUCUUCUGGCACCUGUAGGGAGUUUUCCAGGCAGGUCCUUUGCCACAACCAUGUGGUCUUAUGCCCUAUUGGCCCCUCCCCUGUCUCCUUAGCACCCCCAUGCUGUAAAUACUUCUCAUUGUGAAAUUCAACAGGGUCAAAGGGAUAGGCCUAAUCAACUGAAACUCCUCAGAGAUGCCAUCUCUCUCCCCGGGUGCCAGCAGCCCUGCUGCCAAGUAUACUGGAGGGCACUGGAGAACCAUGGAAGUCAUGAGAUAUUGUUAUGUGUAUGCACAUGAACAUGCGUGUGUGUGUGUGUGUGUGUAACUGCCUCAUUUGGCCUCUGGGGUCAGAUCAGCUUCUCUCCAAGUGCAGUACCUGGAGAGUAAUGACCACUCAAUACCUUUUCCUCUAGCUUUCAUGUCUUGUUUUUGCUUUUCCCUCCCUUCCCCCUCUCUACCUUUCUAUUCUUCUUUCCUUCUCUCCUUCUUUAUUUGAGGGGGAAGAGUGCUGUACAAAGUCAAACAACAAGUUUACAAUUGUAAGUGCAAUGACCCGAGUCCUCCACAUGACCCUUGUGAAUUGUGUGCCACCUUCCUGUGCUCUGUGAGAACUCUUCAGUGUCCCUCCCCCUGUAUUGUGACACGGUAAUUCUGUGGUAUCAGAAUAAAAGGACUUGAUAUAAACAACCUA